CUUAUAUCAGUACCACAAACAUGUAAACAUUUUCAUCAAAUCUUACACAAACAUCAUUAUAAUAUCAGAACUAAAUAUAAAAAAGACAAGAAACUAUGGGGAACUAAAUCAAAACCUUGAGCUCCCAUUUUCCUUCUUGGCCUUAGCAUGUAUCUCUCAGAGAAAGCGUAGUGGAUGCACUUUAAUAACCAGACUCCCAUUAACUGAUCUGUCUUAGCAGUGGAUCCUUUUUUAACAUAAAACCAAAAUAGAUGAGAGGAAGAAAGAAAAACCUGUUGAUCAGGAUUCUGAAAUACAAAAAUUCUUAAGGUUUUUACACAAAGACAGUUCCGCUGGUUUGGAUUUAGUACACUGACUAAAAUCUGCAAGCAGAUUUAAUGAGGUGUCACUCACACAAGCAGUAUCGAAAGAUCAUACAUUUCCCUGACCAAGAUCAGCUAAAUUGCUUUAAUAGAAUUUUAAUGAGAGAGAGAGAGGACACAUGCCUUUAGAAAGGGUACUAUUAUCCACACAGCCAUUGGGACCAAGAAGCAUCUGUAAUUGACCAGAAGGAAUCAAUAAGCAACGAUGAAAGGAACAUUACUAGCAAUUAUGUUCUCACAAGACCACU
Molecule: long non-coding RNA, 610 nt
Filed under: Brassica napus (rape)
Lineage: Eukaryota; Viridiplantae; Streptophyta; Magnoliopsida; Brassicales; Brassicaceae
Description: long non-coding RNA (BNAP_LNC003026)
Source: RNAcentral